Molecule: unclassified non-coding RNA, 290 nt
Filed under: Hevea brasiliensis (rubber tree)
Lineage: Eukaryota; Viridiplantae; Streptophyta; Magnoliopsida; Malpighiales; Euphorbiaceae
Source: RNAcentral
UUAUUUCAUCAACUCUCUGCUUUUUCAAUUGGUAGCAGUAGUCUAAAUUCCUAAACAACGGUAACUAUGGAACCUGAGCAGAGCAGCGGUGGAGGAUUAUAUGUUCCUGGGAAGCAGAGAGUCGAGGUCANNNNNNNNAGUCCCUUUUAGGUUUGGACAUCCUUGCAAAUGAAAAACGGGAGAAAUCUGAAUCAAAUGGCAUGUUUAAGGUUCCAAGAGAAAGAAUCACCUCUGUUGCAGCAUCCAUCGACGAGGGAGAACUUGAAUCAUCUGGAACAGAUGAAGUCAGG